RNAcentral lists this ribosomal RNA (254 nucleotides) under uncultured bacterium. RNAcentral's name for it is "partial 16S ribosomal RNA". It matches the Rfam family "Bacterial small subunit ribosomal RNA", at positions 524 to 777 of the family's 1533-position model. The record is from RNAcentral.
UACAGGGGGUGCAAACGUUGCUCGGAAUCAUUGGGCGUAAAGCGCACGUAGGCGGUUCGUUAUGUCGGAUGUGAAAGCCCUUGGCUCAACCGAGGAAGUGCAUCCGAAACUGGCGAGCUAGAGUACUAAAGAGGAUCGCGGAAUUCCCGGUGUAGAGGUGAAAUUCGUAGAUAUCGGGAGGAACACCGGUGGCGAAGGCGGCGAUCUGGGUAGAUACUGACGCUGAGGUGCGAAAGCGUGGGGAGCAAACAGGG